ACUCAAAGGAAUAGACGGGGGCUCACACAAGCGGUGGAGCAUGUGGCUUAAUUCGAAGCAACGCGAAGAACCUUAUCCAAGGCUUGACAUGCACGGAUUAGUCCGUCGAAAGUCGGAUCACACCGCAAGGUGGAACGUGCACAGGUGCUGCAUGGCUGUCGUCAGCUCGUGCUGUGAAGUGUCGCGUUAAGUCGCUUAACGAGCGAAACCCCUAUCGCUAGUUGCCAACGGGUCAUGCCGGGGACUCUAGCGAGACUGCCGGUGUCAAACCGGAGGAAGGUGGGGAUGACGUCAAGUCCUCAUGGCCUUUAUGCCUUGGGCUGCACACGUGCUACAAUGCGGCUGACAGAGCGAGGCAAGACCGCAAGGUGGAGCAAAUCGCAAAAAAAGCCGCCCAGUUCAGAUUGAGGUCUGCAACCCGACCUCAUGAAGUUGGAAUCGCUAGUAAUCGGGGAUCAGCUACGCCCCGGUGAAUAUGUUCCUGAGCCUUGUACACACCGCCCGU
RNAcentral lists this ribosomal RNA (505 nucleotides) under uncultured bacterium. RNAcentral describes it as "partial 16S ribosomal RNA". It matches the Rfam family "Bacterial small subunit ribosomal RNA", at positions 899 to 1397 of the family's 1533-position model. The record is from RNAcentral.